UACGUAGGGGGCGAGCGUUGUCCGGAGUUAUUGGGCGUAAAGGGCACGCAGGCGGUCUCUUAAGUUCGGAGUGACAGUCGUCGGCUUAACUGACGAAGGCCUUGGAAGACUGAGAGACUUGAGGGCUCACGAGGGACACGGAAUUCCGGGUGUAGUGGUGAAAUGCGUAGACAUCCGGAGGAACACCAAAGGCGUAGGCAGUGUCCUGGGGAGUACCUGACGCUCAGGUGCGAAAGCCAGGGGAG
RNAcentral lists this ribosomal RNA (245 nucleotides) under uncultured Ktedonobacter sp. RNAcentral's name for it is "partial 16S ribosomal RNA". It matches the Rfam family "Bacterial small subunit ribosomal RNA", at positions 524 to 768 of the family's 1533-position model. Lineage: Bacteria; Bacillati; Chloroflexota; Ktedonobacteria; Ktedonobacterales; Ktedonobacteraceae. The record is from RNAcentral.